This 432-nucleotide ribosomal RNA is filed under the name uncultured bacterium. RNAcentral's name for it is "partial 16S ribosomal RNA". It matches the Rfam family "Bacterial small subunit ribosomal RNA", at positions 338 to 795 of the family's 1533-position model. The record is from RNAcentral.
CCUACGGGAGGCAGCAGUAGGGAAUCUUCCGCAAUGGACGAAAGUCUGACGGAGCAACGCCGCGUGAGUGAUGAAGGCUUUCGGGUCGUAAAACUCUGUUGUUAGGGAAGCGGUACCUAACCAGAAAGCCACGGCUAACUACGUGCCAGCAGCCGCGGUAAUACGUAGGUGGCAAGCGUUAUCCGGAAUUAUUGGGCGUAAAGCGCGCGCAGGCGGUUUCUUAAGUCUGAUGUGAAAGCCCACGGCUCAACCGUGGAGGGUCAUUGGAAACUGGGGAACUUGAGUGCAGAAGAGAAAAGCGGAAUUCCACGUGUAGCGGUGAAAUGCGUAGAGAUGUGGAGGAACACCAGUGGCGAAGGCGGCUUUUUGGUCUGUACUGACGCUGAGGCGCGAAAGCGUGGGGAGCAAACAGGAUUAGAUACCCUUGUAGUC